AAAUCGGUGGCUAAAAAUACCGAUUACCGAUUGUUAUGAAAACUUGAAAUCGGCCCUAAUUAAUCAGCCAUUCCGAUUAAUCGGUCGACCUCUAGUCACAACCCUACCAGACAGCAUGGUAGGGUGACUUCAAACCUUGAGCUGUAAAGUGGGGAUGCAAACUAGUCACAAUCUGAAUACAAAAGCAGGUGUAUUAACAUUGUAACAAUACAGCAAGCAGAAAAAUACUGUAAGCAGUUUUGCUUAAUUUAACGAAAAUGUUUAAUGCAUAUUAUAGUACAAUGAUAAUUUGUCUUAUAAGUGUUUUAACUUACAGAUCGCCAUAUAGGAUUAUGCGAAACAUAUUCACGAAGCUAUUUCUCGUUAACUACUAAAACUAUCUAACCGAGUACAGCAAGCAAACAACUUGGGUCGUGGCAGAAAGGACGACGAGAAUGGUUUUAUUAUUCAAAUACAAUUACUUACUUAAAGGGGUGGUUCAUCUAAAAAUACUUUUAACCUCAUUAGAGCAUUAGCCUUUACCAGAGACAGUUUUUAGGUUAGUUGGAUCAGUAUUUAGACUUCUGCAAUUUUAUUUCAAAAUGCGACAUUUACGAUUUUAUCUAGAAUGUGUAAAAAAUAUCCUCACUUUAUGCAACAAAUAUUGUCUCGUCAUUGAAUUGCCCAAAACCUAUGUUUUGCUUUAAAACAUGUUACAAAAAUCGACCUACUAGAGCUAAUGUUUUCUUCAGAUUUGUGUCAUCUGGUUGAUACUCUUCCUCUUGAUUCAAAGAUUUGUAAUUAAGUUCUGACUCUGACCCAAAUCGCGGCUCGGCGCAGAUUAAUCAUAAAUGACUUCCUGGAUUUUAAUGAAAAAAUUACUGAUAUCAUUUGGAAAUAUUAGGCUAGGUAAAUAUUUUAGCAAAGCAAUCUUAUCGAGAUUUUAACUACAAGGGCUAUUGCAGUGAUUGGAGGCACCGGUUGUGUCUUUCGAAGGUAUUUAUGACAACUUUGACAUUAAAUGGGGUUUCUAUGGGAGAGGGAAAUGUAGAAUUCGCUGAUGAGCUAAACUAAAUACUGAUCCAACCAACAUAAAAACUGUCUCUGGUUAAGGCUAAUGCCUAGGAAAAUGUUCUAGCCAGAUGAAAUUUAUUUUUCGAUGAACCACCCCUUUAACAUAGUUGAUGAAAACAUUAAACAAGGCAAUAUAACAGUUUACAUUUCAAGAUAAUACUUUAUGAACAAAGCAUUUAUCUAAACAUGAAUCUGAGAGAUAGGCAGAGAACGUAGCUUGACUCAAAUCUAAUAUACUGUACUUAGAAAGGGGGGAGAAAGAUGGAAGGGGAGAGUGACAAAGCGAGGGAGACAGAGAGAAAGAAGGAGAUAAGAGUUGUAUAGUUGCCACUAGGGCUCAGGGAUAGGACUACAUCCAUCGUCAAUUGCAACGACGUGACAAUGUCAAAAACAAUGUUUUGUUAAAUUUGUAGUCAACUCGAGAAAUUCUGUUUUCAGAAACUUUUUACAAUAGCGGAUAAUGUUAAUAAUCUAUUCAUAUUUGUGUUCUGCAAAGUCCUAAUAUUGGUAAUAAUAAUGGUUUUGUUCGAAUACUCGGCACACCCCUAUUAAAGACAUACUGGGGACGAUUGCGCUAACAAGGCAAGGGGUUUUUGGAACAGGUGCACACAAACUGGAACUCAGAGCAAAUCCUAAUAUUAAAAUACUGUGUUGAUUUCAGAUAUAAUUUUUUAAAAAAUUCUAAAAUGCAAAAAACUAAGUUUCUGUCCAUCACAAAGGAAGUUUGAAUGCAUUGUUGAUAACUACUACAGUACUGUACAAAGAGCACAUUUUGACCACAGCUUCUAAAGGCCGAUGUUUUACAGGUGGAACUGGGUGUUAAACUCCAGGCGAACAUUAUCACUCGACUGAGCAAAGAACCAUCAAAGUGCAUUUCUGAGCUCAUGACAGCUCUAUUUCCCAGAGACGUGAUGGCCGUCUCUUGACAGAAAAAAAACUGAAUGCAUUCCGGGACCCGGAGGCAAAGAAACAGCUGUGCCCAACCAAAGUGUGCCAUUUGCACCUUUUUAAUUUGGCGAAACCUGAUGGAGGAGAAGGAUGUCUUAAAAAUUAUUUGAUCGAAGCUUAACAAUGAGCCAGAAUUGCUUAAGAAGUCCAAGAUUUAGGUUUAAAACUGCUUUUUUUUUACUCAAAGGGAGUAACUUGGAGGCUAAGGCCUAACUAUUUGGUUUGUUAACUCAGUGAAAAAGUAUUCAAGUUGAUCAUUUUUCAAAUAUGAUGUCCUCGUAUCUGUCAACUUCUUAACGUACACAGAACAUUUUUUUUUUCAAAAGUGUACUGUAGUUAUUGCUAUAGUAUAAGAAGAUGUUAUAGUAUUCCUUUAAGGUUACCAUAGUUAUUCUAUAUUAUGUCCGAAUUUACCAAAAGAAUACUAUAGAAGUUUUUCUGUGAUAUUUACAUAAUAUUGUUCUAUACUAAUCUUAUAGGAUCACAGUAAUAUUGCUAUAGUUAUUGCUAUAUUUUACUAUAAGAUUACUAUGGUUAUUCUAUAGUAUGUCUGAAUUUACCACAAGAAUACUGUAUGUUUUUUAGUGACAUUUGUAUAAUACUCUUUUAUAGUAAUCCUAUAGUGCUUUUUUGUAAGGGAUAGUCCAUGCCCGAUGAAUUGAGGUUGUUUAGAGGGCAAAGGGGGUCAAACUCAUGAGGUAUUCCUAAUGUUUUGUAAACUGAAUGUGUAUUUUCGUCUCCAAUGUUCAUAGGCAAAUUAUUACAUUUGUACAAUGA
This is a non-coding RNA of Salmo salar (Atlantic salmon), 2778 nucleotides long. The record is from RefSeq and is a predicted model, not a curated record. Lineage: Eukaryota; Metazoa; Chordata; Actinopteri; Salmoniformes; Salmonidae.